This 492-nucleotide ribosomal RNA is filed under the name Kriegeriaceae sp. CRUB 1261. RNAcentral's name for it is "eukaryotic LSU rRNA". It matches the Rfam family "Eukaryotic large subunit ribosomal RNA", at positions 147 to 636 of the family's 3401-position model. RNAcentral also lists the same sequence under 2 other names. The record is from RNAcentral. Lineage: Eukaryota; Fungi; Basidiomycota; Microbotryomycetes; Kriegeriales; Kriegeriaceae.
AAUCUCGAGAAGUGUUUUCCGCGCCGGACCGCAUACAAGUCUGUUGGAAUACAGCGUCAUAGUGGUGAGAACCCCGUAACUGAUGCGGAUGCCCGGUGCUUUGUGAUACACUUUCGAAGAGUCGAGUUGUUUGGGAAUGCAGCUCAAAUUGGGUGGUAAAUUCCAUCUAAAGCUAAAUAUUGGCGAGAGACCGAUAGCGAACAAGUACCGUGAGGGAAAGAUGAAAAGCACUUUGGAAAGAGAGUUAACAGUACGUGAAAUUGUUGGAAGGGAAACGCAUGAGGUCAGACUUGCUAUUUGGAAUUCAGCCGCAAGGUGUACUUUUCAAUUCGCAGGCCAGCAUCAGUUUUCGGGGGUGGAAAAGGGUAGAGAGAAGGUAGCUGUUUCGGCAGUGUUAUAGCUCUUUGCUGGAUUCAUCCUUGGGGACUGAGGAACGCAGCGCGCUUUUUGCAAGGCUUUCGAGCUUUUCGUGCUUAGGAUGCUGGUGGAAUG